UUAUUACAAAGAUUAGUGAAGGAUCCUGAUCAGGAAAUGGAGGAAGCUGUAAAAGAUUCUUACAAUAUUACUCUGAAGCCAUGGCAUGGAUGGAUUUCAUCUGCUGCUUAUAGAGUAGCUCUUAAAUUAAUUCCUGAUACGAAGGCCUUCAUUAAUCUCCUCAAGCGAAAAGAUGAAAACAAUGACACACUUACAGAGGAUAUGGAAACCUUCAUUUCACUACUAGUGCCUAUUCUAGAAGAGAUUCACUCCAUUCUGAUAUUUUACAGGUUGGAUAAGUUGAAGUCUACCUGAGGAGAUAACACAGAAUCAAAGCGCAUGUACAUAACCUAUAAUUUUCCUCCAGUUCCUUUGCUGUAAAUAUGAA
This 367-nucleotide unclassified non-coding RNA is filed under the name Hevea brasiliensis (rubber tree). The record is from RNAcentral. Lineage: Eukaryota; Viridiplantae; Streptophyta; Magnoliopsida; Malpighiales; Euphorbiaceae.